Molecule: long non-coding RNA, 1219 nt
Filed under: Ricinus communis (castor bean)
Lineage: Eukaryota; Viridiplantae; Streptophyta; Magnoliopsida; Malpighiales; Euphorbiaceae
Description: long non-coding RNA (RCOM_LNC000933)
Source: RNAcentral
AUUCUAUAUAUGUAUUCAUUUAAAUAAGAAUUAAUUAUAAAAAUAUUCUUUUUCUUUAAACAAUUACAAAAAUAUCUUUUGAUUUAAUUCCUUACAUUUUUACAUUUUUGUGAGAGGAGCCAAUUUGUUGAAGCUCCUUAAUCUUCUUCACCAGCCAAGGGAUGUCAAAGGCUGCAACUUUACAGAUCUAGAUUUGAGGAGGUGAAGAAACUGAUUUUGACCUCAAAUCGGUCAAAAAAUGCAGGUAAGCAGGCUAUUUACGAAGAAUAGCGACAAGCGGCAAUUUCUUUUCUUUACUUCACCGAUAUCGGGUUGUUUCCAAUGAAAAUGGUGGCAGAGAAGAGCUCGCGAUGUCAUGGAGAUCCUAUGGCAAGAGUUCCAUGUUGAAUGGCGAUCAGAAAAGAAGAACGGAAGGGAAAGUAACGAGGAAUGGUGAAGUUGGUGAAGAAUGACGAGCUAUGAGAGAAGUUUUUUUGUUUUUUAUAUAUAUAAAUGUGUUUAAAUAAUGUUUCUUAUAAAGCUUGAAACAACCCAUUUCAAUUUGUUUUGUUUGAGAAAGUUAUAUUUCAACUCCAGACUUUGCUUUUAAAUAAGUUUUAUAGCAACCCAUUAUAAAUCUUGGCCACGAAAAUAGAGAGAGACAACUAUACAUAGUUUUUAAAAAUAUAAAAAAUAGUUUUUUUUUUUUUUUUUUAACAGAUAAAAGAUAUUUUUUAAGAUAAUUUUAUGUCUUGUAUAAAAGAAGGUAACGAGGGAUAUAAUUUAUGUUUUAUUGAUUUUUGAUUUAUAUUUUAAUCUAAGGAUUUUUCUUUAGGCACAUGAUAUUUUCUCAUAGGCCAAAGCAACCUACCCUUCAUUCAUCUUUCUGUUGUUUCCCUCAAUUUUGUUUCUAUUUAGUGUGGCCACUUAUCAAUUAUGUUCAAUCUUAUAAUUAUUCCUCUCUCUGUAUAUUCAUAACAAAAGAAGGUGUUACAUCAAGGGAUUUUAAUAUUCUCUUCAAAAUAUGCCAUAAGAAGUUUCUCUGUUCUAACUAAAUGUAUCAUAUGUCCCAAUUAUGGGUUCUAUGGUCAAUAUUAUCUCAUGUUAUAGGAUGUAUUCUCUAUCUUGGAUUAGAGGUUCAUUUGUCCUUUUAUAUGAGAGGAAGCAAAAAGGUGCUCCACCACCGCCGCAGCCUACUCUGUUACAAAGCUUUGGAUAGCAACAGCAAAUGGAAAAGGAG